AAGACGGAAAGACCCCGUGAACCUUUACUAUAGCUUGACACUGAACAUUGAGCCUUGAUGUGUAGGAUAGGUGGGAGGCUUUGAAGCGUGGACGCCAGUCUGCGUGGAGCCGACCUUGAAAUACCACCCUUUAAUGUUUGAUGUUCUAACGUGGACCCGUAAUCCGGGUUGCGGACAGUGUCUGGUGGGUAGUUUGACUGGGGCGGUCUCCUCCUAAAGAGUAACGGAGGAGCACGAAGGUUGGCUAAUCCUGGUCGGACAUCAGGAGGUUAGUGCAAUGGCAUAAGCCAGCUUGACUGCGAGCGUGACGGCGCGAGCAGGUGCGAAAGCAGGUCAUAGUGAUCCGGUGGUUCUGAAUGGAAGGGCCAUCGCUCAACGGAUAAAAGGUACUCCGGGGAUAACAGGCUGAUACCGCCCAAGAGUUCAUAUCGACGGCGGUGUUUGGCACCUCGAUGUCGGCUCAUCACAUCCUGGGGCUGAAGUAGGUCCCAAGGGUAUGGCUGUUCGCCAUUUAAAGUGGUACGCGAGCUGGGUUUAGAACGUCGUGAGACAGUUCGGUCCCUAUCUGCCGUGGGCGCUGGAGAACUGAGGGGGGCUGCUCCUAGUACGAGAGGACCGGAGUGGACGCAUCACUGGUGUUCGGGUUGUCAUGCCAAUGGCACUGCCCGGUAGCUAAAUGCGGAAGAGAUAAGUGCUGAAAGCAUCUAAGCACGAAACUUGCCCCGA
This 726-nucleotide ribosomal RNA is filed under the name Salmonella enterica subsp. enterica serovar Muenchen. RNAcentral describes it as "partial 23S ribosomal RNA". It matches the Rfam family "Bacterial large subunit ribosomal RNA", at positions 2077 to 2802 of the family's 2925-position model. The record is from RNAcentral. RNAcentral also lists the same sequence under 1 other name. Lineage: Bacteria; Pseudomonadati; Pseudomonadota; Gammaproteobacteria; Enterobacterales; Enterobacteriaceae.